UGAUUAUAAAAAUUUUAAUAUAAAACUGUAAGCUCAUUUUUAAAUUCAAAUACAUGUUGUAGUUUAAGAUAGACUAAGAAAUAACAACAGAUCAUAUAUAGUGUUCACAGCAAAAUAUCCUGAGUAGGUGCUUUUCCCUGUUCAUAUAUUUUGUUUCAAUAUUUCGAAUUAUGCCAAAAUUGGCAAAUUAAUACAGAGACUGUAACCAUGAAGUAGAUCUAAAUUCAAAAGCUUUUAUUUGAAUGUAAAUUUAUGGAUCAAUAUGAAGCAUUAAAGGAUACAAAUUUAUGGAAAAAUGAUACAUAAAAAAAAAUUCAUGUUCCAUUACAAAAAUUAGUGGACUGUAAGAGUUAUGAAUGUCUCAGUAAAAGUUUAAAACAAAAUAUGAAAAAGUGAAAAUUGUUCAUCAGCCUUCAAUUGACCACUGUAUGUUUUUGUUCCAUGUGAACAGUGAAAAAGAAAAAUCUUUGUUUAUGGGAUAAAUUGUUUUUAGUUCCUUGAAUAAACUAAUUUGUAAAAUUAGUAUCUAACAAAAAAAAAAGUUUUCAAGCAUGUGUUAAUAUUAAAAAAAAAAAUGUACUUUAUUUUACUUCAUUUUAAUUCACCACACCUUUUUGAUGCACAUUUUUGAAAAUAUUGCCCAGAAUGCAUUGCAUUCUAAAAAUAUUUGUUGGAUUUCUUCAAAAUAUUUGGUGAUUUAUAUGAAACAUUGACACCAAAGUGUAAAGUUGUGAAGGGAGAAACUUAUAUGCAAUAAUUCUGAUCAUUUGAUCAAAGAUUUCAAAACUAAGUAUUUAAGAUUAUGUAUUUCAAUUAUAGAACAUUUAUUUUUAAAUAUUUUGAUUUACAAAUAAUACUUUAUAAGUUUUAAAUACAAGCUAAAAUUUACUUAUAAAUUGCUAAUUUCAAAAUAAAUAAAUAAUUACAUAUAAUAUUGGUUUACAAAAUGAAACACAUACAUUUAGCAUAACAAAAAUAAUUUCAAACAAAUAAAUUCUUUUGCACAUUACCAUUGCACACAAAUCACGAAGUUUUAACAGGCAUAUUAAUCUAUUUCAGAAGUAUCUCAUCCUGUAACCAAAAAAAUCAUUAUAACAACAUAAAAUGUAAUCAACACAGCACAAACACGCAAAUCAUAUCCGUUUGUUCUAUUUUCUUUUU
RNAcentral lists this long non-coding RNA (1161 nucleotides) under Mytilus galloprovincialis (Mediterranean mussel). Lineage: Eukaryota; Metazoa; Mollusca; Bivalvia; Mytilida; Mytilidae. The record is from RNAcentral.